RNAcentral lists this microRNA (24 nucleotides) under Panagrellus redivivus. RNAcentral describes it as "prd-miR-60-3p". Its record names the gene prd-miR-60-3p. The record is from miRBase by way of RNAcentral. Lineage: Eukaryota; Metazoa; Nematoda; Chromadorea; Rhabditida; Panagrolaimidae.
UAUUAUGCUCAAUUACUAGCUAUU